Molecule: ribosomal RNA, 392 nt
Filed under: uncultured Glomeromycotina
Lineage: Eukaryota; Fungi; Glomeromycota
Description: SSU rRNA
Rfam family: Eukaryotic small subunit ribosomal RNA
Source: RNAcentral
AGCAGCCGCGGUAAUUCCAGCUCCAAUAGCGUAUAUUAAAGUUGUUGCAGUUAAAAAGCUCGUAGUUGAAUUUCGGGUUAGUAGGUUGGUCAUGCCUCUGGUAUGUACUGGUCUCACUGAUUCCUCCUUCCUGAUGAGCCGUAAUGCCAUUAAUUUGGUGUUGCGGGAAUCUGGACUGUUACUUUGAAAAAUUAGAGUGUUUAAAGCAAGCUAACGCUUGAAUACAUUAGCAUGGAAUAAUGAAAUAGGACGUUCGAUCCUAUUUUGUUGGUUUCUAGGAUUGACGUAAUGAUUAAUAGGGAUAGUUGGGGGCAUUAGUAUUCAAUUGUCAGAGGUGAAAUUCUUGGAUUUAUUGAAGACUAACCACUGCGAAAGCAUUUGCCAAGGAUGUU